Molecule: long non-coding RNA, 1603 nt
Organism: Mauremys reevesii (Reeves's turtle)
Lineage: Eukaryota; Metazoa; Chordata; Testudines; Geoemydidae
Exons: 3
Source: RefSeq, a predicted model, not a curated record
AGAGGAGAAGGAAGUGAAAGCUACAGAAGAAGUGCAAAAGAGAAACCACAGGGAAAGGAGAAACAGCUGUGGAAAGUUUUCAUUUAUAGAAAUAUGCCCUUUGGUAUCUCUGAGGUACAUUGUCCCUGAUUACAUUGAUACCCACCACUUGUGGAUUUUAACUGGGAACACAGGCGCAGGUGAAUAACCCAUUUCUCACCAAAGCUUUGGGGAAGAAAAAAGUGCAAGAGUCACCUUCCCUCUUUCAAAAAAUCUGAGAUAUAACAGGAAGAAACACCGAAAGCUUCCCCAUGCUGUUCCAUACUCUAGCGCAGACCUGGAGGGACUACUGAGGUCUGAGAAUUAGUUCUGUCCCUAUGCCAAUGGUGGCAAUCAGACUCUUAGAGCAAGACUCUUUCCUGGCCCUGCACAGAUGCACAAGGUGGGGAGAAGGCACCAGGAGCUACUUGAGUACAGAUUGCAGGGACUGGAGACAAUGAAGCCCUUGCAUGCCAUGAACCCAAGGAUUUUGCUGGCACAAGCCUCUCCAGAAUGGGUUAACUCGACCGCUCCCCACCCCACACACACUGACACCACCUAACAGUGCGUUGCAGGGCUCAGAGGACAGUGCCCUCUUCAAAAAUGACACAAUGGCCACAAUGCCUCCUGGAGCUUCUGCUGCAGUAGUGCAGCUGGGUAACAUCCUCCAAUGCAGGGCAACGACAUCAAGGUCCAAUCAAACCUUUCUUGGUAUUUUAAACAUAAUUAACUUCUGUUUGUAAAUAUCACUAGAGCAUAUAAAGGAGCUUGCCAGAAUCCAAGCUUUGCACCCUCUACACCAUAGGCCUUGUUAUAAUAACAGAUGGACUGCAGUGGGCUUGGGGGAUUAAUGGGUGCCUAUGAAAUUCCUUUUUCUUUAUUUAAAAUGAACUUCUGGAGGAAAAAAUAUUUGUGCUUCCCAUCUUUAUUUGAUUUGUUAUGGUGCAUGAACAGGUGUGGAUUUUUUGUUCUCCUAUUUAGUCCUGCUACUCUUAAAGUGUAGGUGGCACUGGGAUUCUUUAUUCUGCAUUAGAAGAACCAGAUUUUAACUGGAGGGUGUCUUAGCUGGUGGAUUUCUAGGCAGCCAGUGGGAUUGUGGCAUUGCAAGAAACUGAAACUACAGCAUUUAAAGGAGAGAGGAUUAUUUGUGUGUUCUAUUUUGUUUACUUUUAUUAAUGACUACUUAACUCAAAUGUCUUACCCCCACUUGGGAGAGAAACUUUUUUUGGCCUGUCCAUACUAGGAAAAUAGAUCAUAUCUUAACAUGUGUGAGCUAACAUAUAUAAUGCAUCUUAAAUCCUAGUGUAAGUAGGGCUUAACACCCUUCAAAAACAUCAUGGCUGCUCCUGAUCAGCCUAUGUCAGGGGCCAGCCUGCAGCAGAGGCAAUCUCCUGGCUACCCAGUGAUAUAAGCUGAAUCAGAGAUAAGGUGCAUUCCCGAGGGAAAUGGUCACAACUGUUGCAUCAAGCACAGAUUUAAAAAUCCAACCUUCACCACCACCAUCUCUUGAUCUCCAGGAGCAACCAGCAAUGUAGGAUUACUCCUAGAUACUGCAGAGCCAUAACUAGGUAUUUUUGUGCCCGAG